CUCAUGACUUUGUGCCUCAGUUUCUACUUCUAUAAAAUGAAGGGGCUGCCAUGAGUCAUUGAGUCUGACGUGAGCCCUCUGUCAGCUCCCCUUCCUUCAUGCAGAGCCGCUGUCUUCAGGCUUCCAUCUGAAAGGGUCCCAGGAUGGCCAGAUUACUCCGUGUAGGUGUCUGCUGUAUCUGAGUGAUAAAAGUCAGUAUUUCAGACCCUGCAUUAUUCCGCAGCUGAGCCCUGAGGGUGAUUCGGGCAGAGACCACAGAACCAGGGACCGGGAGCUCAGUGUCAUUUCCCCUCCGAUCAGUCACAGGCUGAGUAAAGACAACUCAGCAGAUGGAUGAGCAGACCCCCUACGGCUCCCAGCAUCCCAAGGAGGGCCCUGCUGAGAAGGUUGAGAUAGCCGGGGAACCGAGUCGGUCCUUCCUGCCGGCCUCCGCCAAGGGGAGGAGAGCCCUGGCUGGAAGGGGGCCCUGCCAUCCCCUAAAGUCACCGGUGUCUAAUGCCAAUGCUCUUGGACAGCCUUUGGCCACCAACAGAGAGAGGGGCGCUGCAGGGAGAUGAUGUCUUUGGCCUCAAAAUCUGCCUCUGUUGGGUGGAGCGGUCACCUCCAGGACGUCAGAGGCACCUGGAAGUCCUGCCAUCUGGGCUUAAAACACAUCCAUUCAGGGGCCAGGCAUUUGCACUGUCCAUACCAGCUGGUGACCUGCGUUCUGCUGCCCCCUCCCCAAGCUCCAUCUGUGACCUGGUGCUGUGGGGGGAGCUGGUCCCAUCCUCCCCUGAACUAAGGGAAUCCUGAGCCUGCCCAAGAAACGUGGCUGGGACUGGGCAGCCUGAUGGGGGCUGCUGAUCAAGACGGGCCCCUGCUUCACUUGUGUCUGAGCGGAACCUUCCCAACAUGGCGGAGGAGUGAACGUGAGAGAGCAUGGCCUUCCUAAACCUGCAACGUCCCCGGGGGUGCGUGGCAGUCUUUGUGUGGUGACAGUCCUCCUUGGGGGGUCAGGGCGCUUGGAGCUCAGCAGGAUUGCCAAGGACAGAGAGGGGCCUUGGCCUUGCGAUCCCAUGGCCUCCUGGGAGCUUUGGGAGGUGCGCUUCCCUAGCAUCUUGUCCUUAGUGGUGGGACUUGUAUGAGAUAGGUGAAGAACUCACAGUCCGGGUAUGUAACUGUUAGCUCAAUUAGCUGAAGCCUGGAGGUCUCAGUCAUGUGAUGUUAGAUAAGGACUGAUGUAUAAAAAUUGUACAAGGGGCUCAGGGGAGCGGCCCUCCUGCUGUGAGCAUUUCUGUUGUCCUUUCUGCUGGCAGUGGGAAUGUCCGCUUCUUAUGAGAUUCUAAUACAUUUUCUGCACCCUACUUGGAGCGACUCCUGAGUAGUCAAUUUGGGUAGGGGUCUUCGCUGUCCCACACAGACUGCAGAUCAGACUAGAGAGGGUCAGGGCUGUCCUUGUGUCUCCCCAUAGGCCAGCUCCUUCUCUGCCUAUAAAUGGUGUUCUGCUGUCUGGCACCCCUGUUCUGCCCCCCCCAGUCCCCUUUCUCUUCUGCCUGCAGCGCCAAACCUCUGACAGGACGUAUCUAGACCCCCACCGCCUCAGCUUCCCCACCCGCCCCUCAGUCCCCA
Molecule: long non-coding RNA, 1608 nt
Filed under: Phascolarctos cinereus (koala)
Lineage: Eukaryota; Metazoa; Chordata; Mammalia; Diprotodontia; Phascolarctidae
Description: lncRNA (ENSPCIG00000033894.1)
Source: RNAcentral